UGGGGAAUCUUGCGCAAUGGGCGAAAGCCUGACGCAGCCAUGCCGCGUGAAUGAUGAAGGUCUUAGGAUUGUAAAAUUCUUUCACCGGGGACGAUAAUGACGGUACCCGGAGAAGAAGCCCCGGCUAACUUCGUGCCAGCAGCCGCGGUAAUACGAAGGGGGCUAGCGUUGCUCGGAAUUACUGGGCGUAAAGGGCGCGUAGGCGGACAGUUUAGUCAGAGGUGAAAGCCCAGGGCUCAACCUUGGAAUUGCCUUUGAUACUGGCUGUCUUGAGUACGGGAGAGGUGUGUGGAACUCCGAGUGUAGAGGUGAAAUUCGUAGAUAUUCGGAAGAACACCAGUGGCGAAGGCGACACACUGGCCCGUUACUGACGCUGAGGCGCGAAAGCGUGGGGAGCAAACAGGAUUAGAUACCCUGGUAGUCCACGCCGUAAAACGAUGAGUGCUAGUUGUCGGCAUGCAUGCAUGUCGGUGACGCAGCUAAACGCAUUAAGCACUCCGCCUGGGGAGUACGGUCGCAAGAUUAAAAACUUAAAGGAAUUGAC
This 544-nucleotide ribosomal RNA is filed under the name uncultured bacterium. Its description in RNAcentral is "partial 16S ribosomal RNA". It matches the Rfam family "Bacterial small subunit ribosomal RNA", at positions 355 to 914 of the family's 1533-position model. The record is from RNAcentral.